RNAcentral lists this transfer RNA (56 nucleotides) under Bos taurus (domestic cattle). It matches the Rfam family "tRNA", at positions 8 to 63 of the family's 71-position model. From Rfam's summary of the family: Transfer RNA (tRNA) molecules are approximately 80 nucleotides in length. Their secondary structure includes four short double-helical elements and three loops (D, anti-codon, and T loops). RNAcentral also lists the same sequence under 5 other names. Lineage: Eukaryota; Metazoa; Chordata; Mammalia; Artiodactyla; Bovidae. The record is from Rfam by way of RNAcentral.
UGGCUUAGAGGGCAAAGUGUCUGCCUGCAAUGCAGGAGACCUGGGUUCGAUCCCAG